This 468-nucleotide ribosomal RNA is filed under the name uncultured bacterium. Its description in RNAcentral is "partial 16S ribosomal RNA". It matches the Rfam family "Bacterial small subunit ribosomal RNA", at positions 28 to 507 of the family's 1533-position model. The record is from RNAcentral.
GACGAACGCUGGCGGCGUGCCUAACACAUGCAAGUCGAACGGAAAGACCCUGCUUUUGUGGGGUUCUCGAGUGGCGCACGGGUGUGUAACACGUGAGUAACCUGCCCUUGACUUUGGGAUAACUUCACGAAACUGCGGCUAAUACCGGAUAGGAGCUCCUGCUGCAUGGUGGGCGUUGGAAAGUGUCGGCGGUGGUGGAUGGACUCGCGGCUUAUCGGCUUGUUGGUCGGGUAGUGGCAUACCAAGUCUUUGACGGGUAGCCUGCCUGAGAGGGUGACCGGGCACAUUGCGCCUGCGGUACGCAGCAGAGUGCUACGGGAGGCAGCAGUGGGGAAUAUGGCACAAUGGGCGGAAGCCUGAUGCAGCGACGCUGGGUGCGGGAUGACGGCCUUCGGGUUGUAAACCGCUGUCGCCUGUGACGAAGCGGGAGUGACGGUAAUGGGUAAAGAAGCACCGGCUAACUACGUG